Limanda limanda (common dab) is the source of this 402-nucleotide non-coding RNA. The record is from the annotation of a RefSeq genome assembly. Lineage: Eukaryota; Metazoa; Chordata; Actinopteri; Pleuronectiformes; Pleuronectidae.
CUCUGCAGGACUCAGACCCGUCAGUCCACCACAACCACCAUGACUCUCAUCACCCUCCUCAUCUGGACGCUGGCCUGCUGCAGCUUCACAGGAUGCAGCGGCGAGAUGACUGUGACUCAGCCUCCAGUCGUGACAUUUACUCCAGGAUCCACUGUCACGUUGACCUGUAACACCAACCCCAGUUUUCAUAGUACUUGUAUGUCCUGGUACAAGCAGAAACCUGGACAGGCUCCCAAGCUUCUUAUAUACCAAACAACAGCUCUAUAUUCAGGAACUCCCUCUCGAUUCAGUGGCAGUGGCUCUGGUUCCAGCUCCACCUUAACCAUCAAUGGUGUUCAGGCUGAAGAUGUUGGAGAUUAUUACUGUGUCGGUGGUCUUUGCGAUGGAAUGUUCACACAGUGA